UACGUAGGGUGCGAGCGUUGCCCGGAUUUAUUGGGCGUAAAGGGCGCGUAGGCGGCUACGCACGUCCGUUGUGAAAUCGCUCGGCUCAACUGGGCGGGGUCAGCGGAUACGGUGUAGCUGGAGCAAGCUAGGGAACACGGAAUUCCUGGUGUAGCGGUGAAAUGCGCAGAUAUCAGGAGGAACACCGAUGGCGAAGGCAGUGUUCUGGGCCAGUACUGACGCUGAGGAGCGAAAGCGUGGGGAGCAAACAGG
RNAcentral lists this ribosomal RNA (252 nucleotides) under uncultured bacterium. RNAcentral describes it as "partial 16S ribosomal RNA". It matches the Rfam family "Bacterial small subunit ribosomal RNA", at positions 524 to 776 of the family's 1533-position model. The record is from RNAcentral.